UACGGGGGGGGCAAGCGUUGUUCGGAUUUACUGGGCGUAAAGGGCGCGUAGGCGGCCACGACAAGUCACUUGUGAAAUCUCCGGGCUUAACUCGGAAAGGUCAAGUGAUACUGUCGGGCUAGAGUACAGAAGGGGCAACUGGAAUUCUCGGUGUAGCGGUGAAAUGCGUAGAUAUCGAGAGGAACACCUGCGGCGAAGGCGGGUUGCUGGGCUGAUACUGACGCUGAUGCGCGAAAGCCAGGGGAGCGAACGGG
This 254-nucleotide ribosomal RNA is filed under the name uncultured bacterium. Its description in RNAcentral is "partial 16S ribosomal RNA". It matches the Rfam family "Bacterial small subunit ribosomal RNA", at positions 524 to 776 of the family's 1533-position model. The record is from RNAcentral.